AAGGAGUAUAAGGGCUUUGGCAGU
This 24-nucleotide non-coding RNA is filed under the name Cricetulus griseus (Chinese hamster). The record is from RNAcentral. Lineage: Eukaryota; Metazoa; Chordata; Mammalia; Rodentia; Cricetidae.